GGUAAAUUUCUUCUAAAGCUAAAUACUGGCCAGAGACCGAUAGCGCACAAGUAGAGUGAUCGAAAGAUGAAAAGCACUUUGGAAAGAGAGUUAAAAAGCACGUGAAAUUGUUGAAAGGGAAGCGCUUGCAGCCAGACUUGCCUGUAGUUGCUCAUCCGGGUUUCUACCCGGUGCACUCUUCUAUAGGCAGGCCAGCAUCAGUUUGGGCGGUUGGAUAAAGGUCUCUGUCAUGUACCUCCUUUCGGGGAGAACUUAUAGGGGAGACGACAUGCAACCAGCCCGGACUGAGGUCCGCGCAUCUGCUAGGAUGCUGGCGUAAUGGCUGUAAGCGGCCCGUCUUGAAACACGGACCAAGGAGUCUAACAUCUAUGCGAGUGUUUGGGUGUCAAGCCCGAACGCGUAAUGAAAGUGAACGGAGGUGGGAACCUUUCGGGGUGCACCAUCGACCGAUCCUGAUGUCUUCGGAUGGAUUUGAGUAAGAGCAUAGCUGUUGGGACCCGAAAGAUGGUGAACUAUGCUUGAAUAGGGUGAAGCCAGAGGAAACUCUGGUGGAGGCUCGCAGCGGUUCUGACGUGCAAAUCGAUCGUCAAAUUUGGGCAUAGGGGCGAAAGACUAAUCGAACUAUCUAGUAGCUGGUUCCUGCCGAAGUUUCCCUCAGGAUAGCAGUAACGUUUUCAGUUUUAUGAGGUAAAGCGAAUGAUUAGAGGCCUGGGGGUUGAAACAACCUUCACCUAUUCUCAAACUUUAAAUAUGUAAGAA
RNAcentral lists this ribosomal RNA (759 nucleotides) under Ectophoma multirostrata. RNAcentral's name for it is "eukaryotic LSU rRNA". It matches the Rfam family "Eukaryotic large subunit ribosomal RNA", at positions 298 to 1079 of the family's 3401-position model. Lineage: Eukaryota; Fungi; Ascomycota; Dothideomycetes; Pleosporales; Didymellaceae. The record is from RNAcentral.